CCGAACACAGAAGUUAAGCCUCCACGCGCUGAUGGUACUUGGCUGGAAACGGCCCGGGAGAGUAAGUCGUUGCCGGGA
RNAcentral lists this ribosomal RNA (78 nucleotides) under Candidatus Pullichristensenella excrementigallinarum. Lineage: Bacteria; Bacillati; Bacillota; Clostridia. The record is from RNAcentral.